AGCGCGGAGACAGGUGCUGCAUGGCUGUCGUCAGCUCGUGCCGUGAGGUGUUGGGUUAAGUCCCGCAACGAGCGCAACCCUUGUUGCCAGUUGCCACCAGGUAAUGCUGGGCACUCUGGCGAGACUGCCCGGGUCAACCGGGAGGAAGGUGGGGACGACGUCAAGUCAUCAUGGCCCUUACAUCCAGGGCUACACACGUACUACAAUGGCAGAUACAAAGGGUUGCCAAGCCGCGAGGCUGCGCCAAUCCCAGAAAGUCUGUCUCAGUCCGGAUUGCAGUCUGCAACUCGACUGCAUGAAGCUGGAAUCGCUAGUAAUCCCGGAUCAGCAUGCCGGGGUGAAUACGUUCCCGGGCCUU
This 358-nucleotide ribosomal RNA is filed under the name uncultured Desulfovibrio sp. Its description in RNAcentral is "bacterial SSU rRNA". It matches the Rfam family "Bacterial small subunit ribosomal RNA", at positions 1025 to 1382 of the family's 1533-position model. Lineage: Bacteria; Pseudomonadati; Thermodesulfobacteriota; Desulfovibrionia; Desulfovibrionales; Desulfovibrionaceae. The record is from RNAcentral.